Molecule: ribosomal RNA, 449 nt
Filed under: uncultured bacterium
Lineage: Bacteria
Description: partial 16S ribosomal RNA
Rfam family: Bacterial small subunit ribosomal RNA
Source: RNAcentral
AACGAACGCUGGCGGCAUGCCUAACACAUGCAAGUCGAACGAGACCUUCGGGUCUAGUGGCGCACGGGUGCGUAACGCGUGGGAAUCUGCCCUUCGGUUGGGAAUAACUGAGAGAAAUUUCAGCUAAUACCUUAUAAUGUCUUCGGACCAAAGAUUUAUCGCCGAGGGAUGAGCCCGCGUAGGAUUAGGUAGUUGGUGGGGUAAUGGCCUACCAAGCCGACGAUCCUUAGCUGGUCUGAGAGGAUGAUCAGCCACACUGGGACUGAGACACGGCCCAGACUGCUCCGGGAGGCAGCGGUGGGGAAUAUUGGACAAUGGGCGAACGCCUGAUCCAGCAAUGCCGCGUGAGUGAUGAAGGCCUUAGGGUUGUAAAGCUCUUUUACCCGGGAUGAUAAUGACAGUACCGGGAGAAUAAGCUCCGGCUAACUCCGUGCCAGCCGCCGCGGUAA